Molecule: long non-coding RNA, 1931 nt
Organism: Carlito syrichta (Philippine tarsier)
Lineage: Eukaryota; Metazoa; Chordata; Mammalia; Primates; Tarsiidae
Exons: 2
Source: RefSeq, a predicted model, not a curated record
CGUGCUACCACGCCCGGCUCAUUUUUUGAUCAGUUGUAGAGAUGAGGUCUCACCAAGUUGCCCAGUGCUUCUUUCUUGUGGAAAACAUGUCCUCAGCUGCUGCCUGCUUAUGGGACUCCCCCCCACCCCUGCCAGCCCAGCCCGCCCAGCCUGGCAACCAGAGGGUUUUCUGCCACACCCUUUUGUGCCCCCUACCUACCACGGCUGCUCUGCCAUUGUGCUCAGCUCGGCGAUUCUUCUUGUUCGCUCCAUUAUCUUCCAGCCGGAUAUAGAGUGAAUAGUUAACCACACUUAGAACAAAUGGGAUCUUACUUUUUGUUCCUGCUCCUUGUAAAGAGGCCAAUGUUUGUGCAUUACAAGCAGGCUUGGAAGAGUAUCCCUCCUCACGUAUUUGGCAACUGGGUCCCAGGUUCCAGAGUGAUACACGGAUAAGUGCAGAAGUUCAUCGGGCUCCCAGACCUUCGGGCUGUUGGAGAAAUCUUCAGCAAGGGAGUUGAUGGGGAAGGCUGGUGUUCUCCAGGUUCAACUUUCUUUGUUUGGAUCACACACAGGAGUCGACGGGAAGGACAAGAAAGGAACCCUCUUGUUCAUUCCGACUAUCUUCUAGUCAGCUGUGAAGACCCCUUCACUCAGGUGGCAGUGGGCUCCAUGCCAGACCACAGUGCUUCAUGACAGACUAGCCAGCUACCAGGGUUGGUGGUGUUUAUUGAAGACGCCCUUCCCCCAGUGUGUGCUGAUGACACACACACACCUGACACCCACUUGCGUCUUUUCUAUGCCUUUCACUCUGUGGCCACCACCUCCGUGGUUAAAAUCACUUCCUAGAUAUCGGUCAUGGUAGCAACCUUGUCCAAAAUGCAGAGUCAAAGAUGUUUGAAACUUUGCUAUUUCCAAAGCAAAUGGAUGGUUUGCUUUGAUAAAAAGAAUAAAAGCUUCCCUGUGUUGUCGAUGAUGUGCUUUUAUGACCAUUUAGUGACUUCCGUGUCUUCUAAGUGGAGCAGUGGGUCCUUGUGGCCAUCUCGGCUUUGCUACAGAACGGUUGAGGAGAACCUCCUGGAGAUGUCUAGAGCUAUUGAAAUGUAAGACUGUGGGCGUUCACCUUCCUUCCUCAACACACAGUUAUAGCCAUUGUAUUCCUUGGAUUUCUUCAGGUGUAAAGGAACAGAGAGCCACGAGAGUCUGUUAUUUAAAGGAUGGACGCUGUGCGCCUAGGCUCCUGAAAUCCUAUGGAUCCUUCAAGGCUCAUCUCACACACUUCCUUCAAUCGGAAGCCUUCCUGGAUUUCUCCUUUUCUCUCAAGAAAAGAAGAAGUUGUGACUUCUCCCUCACAUAUUAUUUUAAAGCAUCAGGUGUUUUAUAGAUGUUCACAAAGUUCUGGUCUUCCUUCCUUGACCAAAGGACUUUAAUACCUCACUUACUGCGCUUACAAUGAACUUGUUUGGGGUACCCUCUUCCCUCCCAAUUCAUAUUCAAAUUCGUUCAUUCAUAUUCUCUCUCUCCAUCUCUCUCUCAUAAGAACAUGAAUGGAGUUAUUCCUUAUUUAUUGAAAUGUACCCCUGAAAUGCCUGGUAAUGUUCAGGACCAUCUAGUGGGUGCUGUGGUGGGUGCUGUGAUCCCUUAGUGAAUCAUCACAAAACAGAGGCUUACAGAAAUCAAUUGCUUUAGCCAAGUCUUUUCUGUGAGAGUUGAGAUUCAAAACCUGGGUCAUGGACAAUUUCAAGUUCAGAGCUGAUGAAGUUACAACAUACUAGCUUUUGCAUGGUAUACUGACAAGAAAGAUGUUGGGUGACUUUUUCUAUUAACAACCUGCUACUGUGUAUGUACCAAAUUUGCCCGUGCAUUGUACCUGUGUGUUACUGUGUGUACCAAAUGUGCGUGUUUUUUAGCUUGUCAAGAUUAAUCAAUAAAGUGUUUUCUGAACAGCAGAUAAA